UGGGGAAUAUUGCACAAUGGGCGCAAGCCUGAUGCAGCCAUGCCGCGUGUAUGAAGAAGGCCUUCGGGUUGUAAAGUACUUUCAGCGGGGAGGAAGGGAGUAAAGUUAAUACCUUUGCUCAUCGACGUUACCCGCAGAAGAAGCACCGGCUAACUCCGUGCCAGCAGCCGCGGUAAUACGGAGGGUGCAAGCGUUAAUCGGAAUUACUGGGCGUAAAGCGCACGCAGGCGGUUUGUUAAGUCAGAUGUGAAAUCCCCGGGCUCAACCUGGGAACAGCAUCUGAUACUGGCGGUGUUGAGUGUCAGAGAGGGGGGUAGAAUUCCAGGUGUAGCGGUGAAAUGCGUAGAGAUCUGGAGGAAUACCGGUGGCGAAGGCGACCACCUGGACGAAGACUGACGCUCAGGUGCGAAAGCGUGGGGAGCAAACAGA
RNAcentral lists this ribosomal RNA (429 nucleotides) under Chloroflexota bacterium. RNAcentral's name for it is "Chloroflexi bacterium partial 16S ribosomal RNA". It matches the Rfam family "Bacterial small subunit ribosomal RNA", at positions 355 to 776 of the family's 1533-position model. The record is from RNAcentral. Lineage: Bacteria; Bacillati; Chloroflexota.